Molecule: ribosomal RNA, 164 nt
Filed under: uncultured bacterium
Lineage: Bacteria
Description: partial 16S rRNA
Rfam family: Bacterial small subunit ribosomal RNA
Source: RNAcentral
UGGGGAAUAUUGGACAAUGGGCGAAUGCCUGAUCCAGCCAUGCCGCGUGUGUGAAGAAGGUCUUCGGAUUGUAAAGCACUUUAAGUUGGGAGGAAGGGCAGUAAGUUAAUACCUUGCUGUUUUGACGUUACCGACAGAAUAAGCACCGGCUAACUCUGUGCCAG